GACGAACGCGGGCGGCGUGCCUAAUACAUGCAAGUCGAGCGAAGUUUUUCUGGUGCUUGCACUAGAAAAACUAAGCGGCGAACGGGUGAGUAACACGUAAAGAACCUGCCUCAUAGACGGGGACAACUAUUGGAAACGAUAGCUAAUACCGGAUAACAGCAUUAACCGCAUGGUUGAUGUUUGAAAGUUGGUUUUGCUAACACUAUGAGAUGGCUUUGCGGUGCAUAAGCUAGUUGGUGGGGUAAAGGCCUACCAAGGCGACGAUGCAUAGCCGACCUGAGAGGGUGAUCGGCCACACUGGGACUGAGACACGGCCCAGACUCCUACGGGAGGCAGCAGUAGGGAAUCUUCCGCAAUGGGCGAAAGCCUGACGGAGCAACGCCGCGUGAGUGAAGAAGGAUUUCGGUUCGUAAAGCUCUGUUGUUAGGGAAGAAUGAUUGUAUAGUAACUAUAUACAGAGAGACG
RNAcentral lists this ribosomal RNA (465 nucleotides) under Gemella haemolysans. RNAcentral's name for it is "bacterial SSU rRNA". It matches the Rfam family "Bacterial small subunit ribosomal RNA", at positions 28 to 474 of the family's 1533-position model. Lineage: Bacteria; Bacillati; Bacillota; Bacilli; Caryophanales; Gemellaceae. The record is from RNAcentral.